Molecule: ribosomal RNA, 911 nt
Filed under: uncultured bacterium
Lineage: Bacteria
Description: bacterial SSU rRNA
Rfam family: Bacterial small subunit ribosomal RNA
Source: RNAcentral
AGUUUGAUCCUGGCUCAGAUUGAACGCUGGCGGCAGGCUUAACACAUGCAAGUCGAGCGGGGGAUGUUGCUUCGGUAACUGACCUAGCGGCGGACGGGUGAGUAAUGCUUAGGAAUCUGCCUAUUAGUGGGGGACAACAUUCCGAAAGGAAUGCUAAUACCGCAUACGCCCUACGGGGGAAAGCAGGGGAUCUUCGGACCUUGCGCUAAUAGAUGAGCCUAAGUCAGAUUAGCUAGUUGGUGGGGUAAAGGCCUACCAAGGCGACGAUCUGUAGCGGGUCUGAGAGGAUGAUCCGCCACACUGGGACUGAGACACGGCCCAGACUCCUACGGGAGGCAGCAGUGGGGAAUAUUGGACAAUGGGCGGAAGCCUGAUCCAGCCAUGCCGCGUGUGUGAAGAAGGCCUUUUGGUUGUAAAGCACUUUAAGCGAGGAGGAGGCUACCGAGACUAAUACUCUUGGAUAGUGGACGUUACUCGCAGAAUAAGCACCGGCUAACUCUGUGCCAGCAGCCGCGGUAAUACAGAGGGUGCGAGCGUUAAUCGGAUUUACUGGGCGUAAAGCGUGCGUAGGCGGCUUUUUAAGUCGGAUGUGAAAUCCCUGAGCUUAACUUAGGAAUUGCAUUCGAUACUGGGAAGCUAGAGUAUGGGAGAGGAUGGUAGAAUUCCAGGUGUAGCGGUGAAAUGCGUAGAGAUCUGGAGGAAUACCGAUGGCGAAGGCAGCCAUCUGGCCUAAUACUGACGCUGAGGUACGAAAGCAUGGGGAGCAAACAGGAUUAGAUACCCUGGUAGUCCAUGCCGUAAACGAUGUCUACUAGCCGUUGGGGCCUUUGAGGCUUUAGUGGCGCAGCUAACGCGAUAAGUAGACCGCCUGGGGAGUACGGUCGCAAGACUACCUCUAAAAUGAAUUGACG